AUGAAACAGGCUGAUUGGGCUCAACCAACCAGAAUACAUCAGAAGGGAUGCCUCUGUGGCUGGGGAAGGAAGAUGCUGGAGCUGCCGGGAAGAAGUGAGAGAAUUCUCAGGCACCAGCAGGACCCAGAAAGCCCCUGCCUACUGCAGAGCGUGGGGCCAGGCCUUCAGCCGAUUGAAUGGUGCAGUGAGCCGAAAUCACGCCACUGCACUCCAGCCUGGGCAACAGAGCGAGACUCUGUCUCGGAAAAAAAAAGAAAAGACAAAGAAAGGCAUAUAUUGCUACAGAAGAUACUCUUAAAUCCUACUUUUCUGGAAAUAUUGGUUACUAUAGAAAAUAUAGAACUAAAUUCAUUUUAAAAUUCUCAUUCUGAAAUUAUUACAAAUGUUUUAUGAAUCAUAUUAGCAUAUAGGCAAGUUUUGGAAAGCUAAAAUUACAAACCAGGGGUGCAGAUGAGUCUUCUGUGAAAUUUUUAAUUUUUGCAGAACACCAUGAGAAAUUACACAUUUUCUAUUCUAUAUUUCUUGUAGGAAAUAGAGGCUGCCCCUCUCUCAGUGCCCCACAUGAGAAAGGGAAGUUGUCCUUUUACAUAUCCACAGUCAAACAUCUUGGUAAACAGAAGAAAGCAGGCUGGGCCUGGUGGCUCAUGCCUAUAAUCCCAGCACUUUGGGAGGCCAAGGAGGGCAGAUAGCUUGACUAGCAUGGGCAACAUGGCAAAACCCUGUCUCUACAAAAAAAUUAAAAAAUAAAAAAUAAAUGUAGUCCCAGGUACUCAGGAAGCUGAGGCAAGAGGAUCACUUGAGCCCGGGAGGUAAAGGCUUCAGUGAGCCAUGAUAAUGCCACUGCACUCCAGCCUGGGCAACAGAGUGAGAUCCUGUCUCAAGAAAAAGAAAAACAAGAGGAAGGCCAUCUACUUUGUACCCAAAGAAUUUUACACGCAAAGAGUUUGACUGUGAAUGAGCCUCCAUUGCUUAAGAGAGACUUCACUAUUUGGGAUUUUAAGAAAGAAAGACACAAACAAGCAAACCUCAUCUGCAGAGGACUGAGAAGCCAGUGUUUAUAAUACCCAGUGAUUAAUUUAAUAUUGUCUUGAGUCAUAAUUAAAAGGGACUUAGUUUAAAAGUCAUUUCGAUUGAUAACUGACUCAGAGUCCUCAACAUUUCACCUUUUGCUUUAUGAAAAGAACGAGUAGAUUAAUUUAGAGUUUGACAAGGAGAAGGAAGUCUCCCCUGAUUUUCUGUUUGGCCAAGAAUUUAUCCUAACGUGGUACCAUCAGAGUACAGUCAGAAAGCUGUGAGUCAACUCAGACUUCUCACCAUUGAGUCAAGCUGUGAAGCCUGCCGCCUUGGGGGUAAGGAUUUCCAUACAGAAACACUGUAAGUAAAUAAUUUAGCACUUGUUUCUUAUUCCUUUUUAUUGGGUAACUACACAGAAUUAAAACCUGUUGUUUUGAAUUCACAAAAGAAAUGUUUUAAAACUUUCGAGGAAAAAGCCAGAUUAUCCAUUGCAAAGCAUCGAAAUUCAAAAAUCAUGUUAAGGCUAGAGAAACAGGAUCCUAUCCCCACCUAGUGGCCAACACUGAAAUCUAGACAGAACAGGAAACAAGGGAAUUUGUCAACUAUUUGGGAAUACUCCAGCAUUCUUUACAAAAAAAAGUUAGAGAAAAGGUUAGGCACACAAAAAAACACAUAUCAAAAUAAAUAUGACCAAAUACAUAGGUUUUGGCAGCACAUAGGUUUCUGUGGUUUUGCUCUGCUUUUAGCAGCAGCUGUAAAAAGCAUUGCACACUAAGCAUUGCUAGAUUGCCAAACAAACCUAAUUAUAUUUUUUUGUUUGGUUUUUUGGUUUUUUCAAAACCUCCUACCUCUGUGACAUAAUUAUGUUUUUAAUGAGUUGAAUGUAAAAACAAACAUCAAUGCAUACAAAAUUUCAGUUAGACAGGAGGAAUAAAUUCAAGAUAUGUACUGUACAACAUGGUGACUCUAGCUAAUCACAAUGUACUGUGUACUUGAAUAUUGCUAAGUGAAUAAUUUUAAGGGUUCUCACCAAACACAAAAAAUAUGUAAGGUAAUGCAUAUAUUAAUUAGCUUGAUUUAGCCAUUAAACAAUGUACACAUAUAUAUAGAAAUCAAAACAUCAUAUUGUAUACCAUAGAUUCAAUUUUUGUCAAUUAAAACAAGAAUUAAAUGAAUACAUAUAUUUUUGUUGCAGAGAUGUGUGAGAGAUCGAUCUAUAAAGACUCUAAAAUAUUUGUUAAAAGAUACGAACUGAGGGAAAGCCUUCGACAUCAUUUGGAAGAAAGUGUACAUAGUUAGACCAUCCUAGUAUCUGUAAAGUGGGUGUGAUCAUCAGAGAGUGAUACAUUGAGCAGUGCUGUCCCAUACAACGUUCUGCUGUUAGGGAAAUGUUCUAUAUCCAGCUCUCCAACCGAGCCCCCACUAGCCACAGGUGGCUCUUGAGCACUUAAAAUGCUAGCAGCUGGUGAGACCAAGGGGUUGAAGUUUUCAUUUAAUUUUAAAUUAAGGCAGAAUCACCUAUAAGAGAAAGUGCUAGAGAAUUGGAAAAAUGAAAAAGAAUUUGAGAAGCCAGUGGGAAUGGAGCUAAAGUGUAUGGUCAUGGCUCAUUAGAUUUGGGGAUAUCAGAAUUCCAACAGCACAAUGGGCUCACUAGAAAAUUAAUAAGAUUACAAAACAGGUUAAAUGAAACAUCAAAAAUAGUCCAAUUUUAGCAGAUACAGAAGCUACAAAUUUAGCAAUAGUUUUGGCAAACCCUCAACUCAUGUAAUUUAACAGUGCUAGGAACCAAGCCAAAGGUGAAUGCCUAGACAAAAAGCUUAUAAACGUUAAGAGCACAUUUCUCUUAGAACAUACGGAAACAGGGCACUUCCACACCUUUGAUUCAUUCUCCAAGCUUAAAGAACUUUGCUCUAAAACCAGAUCCUCUCAUACGACAGGACAAACAGCCCCAGUGUUCUUCCCUCCAGAUCUGUUCCAACCUGUGUCUGGAGGCACUCUGCACUCAAGUUAAAACAGUUUAGACAAAGGACAAUGUUCAGGAAUUCCAGAAACUUUGGGAUAUAACAUCAGUGGUGACUUUUAAUUAGGAAAACCCAAUCUAAUAAGAAGGGCUAUUUUGAACACCAGGGUAUGUGGAGAGGAAAGUAUCAAGGUGGAAGGUUAUGAAACAUUAAUGGGAGAUACAGAGAACCAAAAAAGUUUCUAUGGUGAUUUCUCCUGCCCCUGGGCAUGUUAUCUGAACUUACAAUUGCAACUCUGGAAGCUGGAAAAGCUCUUAAGAACCUCUGGAAUGCCACUUCCCCACAAAACAACACAGUAUGAAAUAGUGACAAAUCCCUAGGAGAAUAUGUAAAAUAACAAUCAUGAUAACAUUGUUGGAGAAAUCUGACAUAAUCCCACCAGUAGGACUCUUUAACAACUCAUUUUGACCAGCCAAAAGGUAGGUGAAGCUUGGAAGCGAAUUGUGAAUUACACCAAUAUGAAGAAAAGCAGCUAAUUCUGAAGUAGUAUUAAGUGGCAGUGACUAUUCUAAUCACUUUAAAUAUUUAACUCAAUUAUGAAAAAUAAAAUGUGAUUAGCACUGUACAUAUUAUUUCCUUAGUAGAAGAUCUUGCUAAAUCAACCCUUGGUUAGCAUUCAUGCAUCAAUCUGGCUGAUGUAUCCUUUUCAACCCCAAUAAAUUAUAUUCACCAACAGUCUGCUUUCACUUGGCAGCACCAACCUUUACUAAGUUGCCAGAGUAAAUUCUCCCACCCCUGAGGUACAAUCCAUUGAGCAAAAUUUAAACAGCCUAAAUCCAAUUCAAGAAUUAACAUUGUUUUAUUACCCUAAUGACACAUUAACCAGGAGUGACUUGAAAAAAACUGUGUCCAUGAGGAAACUUCUUGGGGUAAUAAAAAUAUUAUCUUGAUUGUAAUAGUAGUUACAAAAUGAAUAUUUUUUUCAAAACUCAUAAACAACUGUAUAGCUACAGUUUCACCAUAUUUAAAUUAUAUCUCAGUAAACCUGAUUUUAUGUUAUUUUAUUUAUUUAUUUAUUUAUUUAUUUAUUUAUUUAUUUAUUUUUGAGAUGGAGUCUCACUCUGUCACCCAGGCUGGAGUGCAGUGGUGCAAUCUUAGCUCACCGCAACCUCCACCUCCCAGGUUCAAGCGAUUUUCCUACCUCAGCCCCUAGUAGCUGGGAUUACAGGUGUGCACCACCAUGCCCGGCUAAUUUUUGUAUUUUUAGUAGAGACAGGGUUUCACCAUGCUGGCCAGGUUGGUCUCAAACUCCUGAUCUCAGAAGAUCUGCCCACCUCAGUCUCCCAAAGUGCUAGGAUUACAAGUGUGAGCCACUGUGCCUGGCCUGAACCUGAUUUUUUUUUUAAAGCAAUUGCAUCCAAAAACCUCUGUCUUCCAUUAUUAAUUUUAUGAGUUAAAAGGAACAGACUAUAAAAGAGCACAAAUUUCAGUAAAAUUUUGGGGAGAAAAAUUCUGCCCAAGACCAGGCAAAAGCCUUUGUGCUUGAAACCCCCUACUUGAAAAAGAGGAACAGAAAUUAAUUGGCAUGUUUGAAUUCUGAAGACUGCAUAUCCCACGUCUGUAUUAAACUUGGGUCUCUUCAUUGAAUUAUGUGUGUCCUUAAGAGAACAAGAUGCCUCAGAGCUGUGCUGUCUAAUAUGGUAGCGCCAGCUGGCUA
This is a long non-coding RNA of Macaca mulatta (Rhesus monkey), 4692 nucleotides long. NCBI's taxonomy places the organism in Eukaryota, Metazoa, Chordata, Mammalia, Primates, Cercopithecidae. The record is from Ensembl.